GCGGGAAUAGCUCAGUUGGUAGAGCAUAACCUUGCCAAGGUUAGGGUCGCGAGUUCGAGUCUCGUUUCCCGCUCCA
RNAcentral lists this transfer RNA (76 nucleotides) under Legionella pneumophila. RNAcentral's name for it is "tRNA-Gly(gcc)". It matches the Rfam family "tRNA". From Rfam's summary of the family: Transfer RNA (tRNA) molecules are approximately 80 nucleotides in length. Their secondary structure includes four short double-helical elements and three loops (D, anti-codon, and T loops). Lineage: Bacteria; Pseudomonadati; Pseudomonadota; Gammaproteobacteria; Legionellales; Legionellaceae. The record is from RNAcentral. RNAcentral also lists the same sequence under 137 other names.